This 460-nucleotide ribosomal RNA is filed under the name uncultured bacterium. Its description in RNAcentral is "partial 16S ribosomal RNA". It matches the Rfam family "Bacterial small subunit ribosomal RNA", at positions 338 to 795 of the family's 1533-position model. The record is from RNAcentral.
CCUACGGGAUGCAGCAGUGAGGAAUAUUGGUCAAUGGACGAGAGUCUGAACCAGCCAAGUAGCGUGAAGGAUGACUGCCCUAUGGGUUGUAAACUUCUUUUAUAUGGGAAUAAAACGUUCCACGUGUGGGAUUUUGUAUGUACCAUAUGAAUAAGGAUCGGCUAACUCCGUGCCAGCAGCCGCGGUAAUACGGAGGAUCCGAGCGUUAUCCGGAUUUAUUGGGUUUAAAGGGAGCGUAGGUGGAUUGUUAAGUCAGUUGUGAAAGUUUGCGGCUCAACCGUAAAAUUGCAGUUGAAACUGGCAGUCUUGAGUACAGUAAAGGUGGGCGGAAUUCGUGGUGUAGCGGUGAAAUGCUUAGAUAUCACGAAGAACUCCGAUUGCGAAGGCAGUUCACUGGACUGCAACUGACACUGAGGCUCGAAAGUGUGGGUAUCAAACAGGAUUAGAUACCCCUGUAGUG